RNAcentral lists this ribosomal RNA (425 nucleotides) under uncultured bacterium. RNAcentral describes it as "partial 16S ribosomal RNA". It matches the Rfam family "Bacterial small subunit ribosomal RNA", at positions 354 to 796 of the family's 1533-position model. The record is from RNAcentral.
GUGGGGAAUAUUGGACAAUGGGCGAAAGCCUGAUCCAGCAAUGCCGCGUGAGUGAUGAAGGCCUUAGGGUUGUAAAGCUCUUUUACCAGGGAUGAUAAUGACAGUACCUGGAGAAUAAGCUCCGGCUAACUCCGUGCCAGCAGCCGCGGUAAUACGGAGGGAGCUAGCGUUGUUCGGAAUUACUGGGCGUAAAGCGCACGUAGGCGGUUACUCAAGUCAGAGGUGAAAGCCCGGGGCUCAACCCCGGAACUGCCUUUGAAACUAGGUAGCUAGAAUCUUGGAGAGGUCAGUGGAAUUCCGAGUGUAGAGGUGAAAUUCGUAGAUAUUCGGAAGAACACCAGUGGCGAAGGCGACUCACUGGCCCAAUACUGACGCUGAGGCGCGAAAGCGUGGGGAGCAAACAGGAUUAGAUACCCUGGUAGUCC